Non-coding RNA from Rattus norvegicus (Norway rat), 10898 nucleotides. Lineage: Eukaryota; Metazoa; Chordata; Mammalia; Rodentia; Muridae. The record is from RefSeq and is a predicted model, not a curated record.
CCAUAAAGUGGCCUUCUAGAAAGAGUAGCAUAAUCUUCAGUAAAAGAAUAUGCUUGACAAAGAAGUGCAGACUGACAGGAACUUGAUGUAGAUGUCUCCUGAGAGACACAGGCGAAAUACAGCAAAUACACAGGCAAAUGCCAGCAGCAAACCACUAAACUGAGAACGAGAAUCCCGUUGAAGGAAUGAGAGACAGGAUUGGAAAGGCUUGAAGGGGCUUGAGACCCCAUAUGAACAACAAUGCCAAGGAACCAGAGCUUCCAGGGACUAAGCCACUACCUAAAGACUAUACGUGGACUGAUCCUGGGCUCCCACCUCAUAGGGAGCAAUGAAUAACCUUGUAUGAGCACCAGUGGAAGGGCAAACCGUUGGUCCUACUAACACUGAAACCCCAGUGAACGUGAUUGUUGGGGGGAGUGCGGUAAUGGGGGGAGGAUAGGGAUGGAAACACCCAUAUACAAAGGGGUUUAGGGGUAAGAAAGCAGGGUUAGGGGAAUGUUGGCCAGUAAACCGGGAAAGGGAAUAACAAUUGAAAUGUAAAUAAGAAAUGCUCAAGAUAAUAAAGAAAAAAAAUCUGCUUUUAAACAAAAUUUGGAGGAAAUACCCCGACAUGUCUACAUUAUAACUGUGUACUGUGUCAUUGUUUUCUUGUUUUCUGUGGUCACACUUGUGGCCUUUGAAGCCGAGCUGCAUCCCGUGGAUCUGUAAAUAAGCUAAGACAGACUUUCAACUCGGUCACAUGAAGCAUGUGAAAGGCGUGACAAGACAGUUGCAGUCAUUGUCACACUGCCAUCCCAAUGGAUACAUGUAACUGUUGAAAAAUCACAGAGUGGGAUGCUCAAGUCUGAACUUUAACACCCAGCUAGGAAAAGUAUAACCUAUCAGUUCACUUCCUGAGUAUCAUCCACAAGCAAAGGGUAGGCUCAGAUGAAGUAUUGUUGAAGAAAUUUGCUCUUCCUUGUGAGCAGCAUCUGAGGGUAUGUGGAAGACCAUUCAGCCUCCUGUGACACGGGAGACCAGAGUAAUGAGAAGCAGACAGAGGGGACAAUUCUGUGUUGUUUUUUUCUGGACCACCAUAACUACAUUUUCCAGUCUAUGGAUUUGCUCAUUGAAAUCGUGUGUCUCACACUGGCAAAGGCCAAGCUGUAUGAAGCCUCAAUAUCAAAACUGGAUCCAAGGUCCUUUCUUAGUUACUGGGAUUUACAGGCAGUCUACCAUACCUUGUCUUCUAGAUUCACAAAUUCUUUUCUGGCUUCAUGUACUUAAGGCAUAUUCUUUCAUUCUCUCUAUGUGUCUCUCUCUCUCUGCCUCUCUGUCAUAUUUUUUUCCUCUAUCCUACAACAGUCUUUACUAAUGUUAAUGUAUUUCUUGCCAGUUUAUGCCCUUCCUUAUCUCAUAAACCCCAGGGUGAUCUGAACUUGGAGUCCUCUGGAGAACCACAAUUAGAAAUAGAGUUGACAUCCAAAUCUACUAGACAAGAACAACUGUGAAGAUGCAGAAUAUUCAACAACCCCCAACAAGCAUAGAGCCCAAUAUGCAUGUAUAAAAAGAAAAUUUUUAGAUAUUCAAGAAAUGCAUGGCAGGCUUCUCUUUGCUGAGACUGCCAGCAUCAUGACAAAGGUUACAUGGGGCUUUAAUAAACAUGUAUAGUUUAAUAAUACCUAGACUCUACCCUACUUUACCAUUCCCUGUCUGUAUGUUUCUAAUAGAUGCUUUCCAGAAAUGUAGUAGUGACACCCUUUCAAGAGUAUAGACGUUGUCACAUGUGGCACCCAACAGAAGAAUUUGACUUUUAUUCUAUGGGUGAAGCUCCUUAUGAUUGAUCUACAACAUACUUGUCCCCUUGACUGAUGCUUUGUUUUGGUGUGUGUGUGUGUGUGUGAGUGUGUGGGUGUGUGUCUGUGUCUGUGUCUGUGUCUGUCUGUCUGUCUGUCUUUGUCUCUGUCUGUCUCUUUCCUCCGCAGGAUACCUCUCCAUAGUACAGCAUGACUUCUUAAUUGCAUUCCAAGGUUGACUCAUCAUGCUUCCUCUGUUUUGAGGUCUCAAAUUGCACCUAUGUUAAGCAAUGCACCUGUAGCCUGAUCUGUGAACUGCUGCUCACAUCAUAAAGAACCCCAUGACUAAACAUGUUAUUUUUGAGGCUCUGAACAAUGUUUUUGUCUGAAUUUACAUAAUUAUUCCAAUUUUUUUACUCCCUCAACUAAACUGUUCUUCUCUGUGGAUCUUUCCAAAGUCUUUGCUUACUUGUAUUUAUCUAUGUACCAGCUCUACAAGGAAGGCAUAAUCCCAACUCUCCAGCAUUAGUUAGGAGGAGCAAUGGAUGAGGCAAUUGGAUAAAAUGAUCAUUUAGCUAAAGAAGAUGUCCGCUUAGAGUGAUUAACUGUUUAGAAUCGUUGCAUAAAUGACAAUCAUACUGACCUAAGUUCUCAACUUCCUUUCUUCAUUGUCAUUUUCAGUGUGCAUAGUAAGGUCGGGAUGAACAAUUUCUGAGCUUUGUUUGCAAGUUUAGGCUUAAGUAUCUGUACAUGAAGGUAGGAAAAAAUUCAAUUAAUCAGUCAUAUCUCCAUUUUAGAAGGUAGAGUGAUGGAAAGUCUUCCCUUGUGUCUCAGCAAAGGUACUGGAAAGGCCAACUUGGCUUGUUGAUUUGGAGAAUAUCUGGUUAAUGGAUAGUUAUGUACUGUUGAAGGGGACACUCCUCUGGUACACUAUUGCAUGCCUGGAAUUCCAUGGUAUUCUUUGUGAUGUCACUAGUGUUAUGGAAACAGAAGCUGCCCUUGUGGUAUUUUGUUAAUGCUUAUUGUUUUAGACACAGACAUGUUUUCUAGGAUUAUCGAGUUAUUUACAGGAAAAACAGAGUGCAUGGAGAGAUGAGAGAGAAAAAAAUGAUAUUAGGACUUCUUUCUUGUUAUAAAUAUGCAAAUAAAUAAUCUGGUGUAAAGCAGAGAGAGUAAGCCCUGAGCCACUGCUGGGGAACUUCCUGGAGAAGCUGUGCUUGGGUCAGACCAUCUAGGAGCAGGACUUAUGGUCUGAAACAUCUGGACUUUUAAAGAAGGGACCAAGCGUCAAGAAUAUCUGAUGAAUAUUUGGCAGACAGCCAGAAAUUGACAAGCAUGCAGUUAGUUUGCUAUGAGUUCCUUAAUUUCACUCUGAAUGAGAAAGAUAUCCAAUAGGAGCCACACAGAUAAAUCUUCGACUCUCAGGGUAGAGUAUAGGACUUCAUCUACAGACGAUUAUUGUACAUUCAUUGACAUGUUGUGACAAGGAGAGAGAGAGGGAUACUCCCCUGGAAAUGUAUCAAGAUUUCAGACUCAUUUUUCUUGAACAUACAUGAUUAGGGCUUGGUGGUCCUAAGAACUAUGGACUACAGAACUUACCUGCAUAUGUCUAGCAAUCAUCGUUGGAGGCAGGAGAGUAGCUAAUAGGUCCAACUUGAAAAGAGCUUUCUUACUCUCUCAGUGCUUCAAAGUGUCUGUAGAUUUCCCCUUUCCUCAUGCUUUGUUGGGGGACUCAGAAUGGUCUCUCCUGUGACUGGGCCAUUAAUAUGCAUGUUCCCUUGUGUUUAUCUACAGGGUCUGCUGGGAAGGCAUCAUGCCAACCUUCCACCAUCAAUGAGCAAGUUCAGCAGAUUAAGAAGUAGGAGAAACUGACUAUUGAGCUCAAGAAGAAAACCUAAAAGCAGAAGCUGUGUUUGAAUAACAGACGAGAUAUGGCAAGCAGUGUGUGAGCUCUCAUCCUGGAUUUUAAUAGAGAGAGAUGCAUUUUCUGUCCUCAGAGGAACACAGAAAGGUGGUCAGCUACAGAAGCACAGUAACUUAAACUUAGAUAACUAUGGAGAUUUUCUUGUUGACUGGGCUCAUAGAUUCAGACCUGAAGUCAGGGAUAAUAUGGACAAUGGAGAUCCAUUUGAAAGAAGCUGCUUAACUUGGAGGAACAGGGAAACAGUGAGCAAGAGUAAGAUGUUUGUCCACCAGGUGAUCCCUUGCUGAGAACAAAGUCUCCUCUUCACAGCCUGAAAACUGGGCAGGCUGGAAGCCAAUAGCAAUGUACAUGAAGAAAGUACAUCAGUAGUGAGAAAGAAAAUUGCUGCACUUCUUCAAUAAUCAUUUCCUUAGAUUUUUAGGUGCUGAGGACAAAGAGAAGACACACAGAAGGACUGAGACAGAAGGUCUGAACUGGAAGGACAGAGACAGAUGGACAGAGCUGGAGAGGGGAUGACCUGAAAAGCCCGGUUUGAGAUAAGGAGAACAAAGGCCAUUUAGUAAACCCUAGAGGUAAUGAAUGAAUAUCUGAGAGGCAGUUGCUUUCACGACAACACCUGUAACAUCACAGAAGAAGCUAGAGCCCUCCAGGAUACAAGAGAUUUUUCCAGGAGGUCCUAAUGAUGAUGUCACUGAGACCUGCCAUGGCUUACCUGCAAAACAUCUUGAGCAGGACCAUUUUCUUCUUGACAAAAAGAAUAAGGCUAUGAGAUCUCAGCAAAACAACUGUGCCCUGCCCAUCACUUGGCUUUGGAAUAAAAAAAAAAUAAUGAUAUAAACUCUUUGACUUCCAGGAAUGAUAUGAACAGGAACUGUAAGAGCAGGAAGUCCACAUGCUUCUGAGAGGACCCCAGCUCCUAAUUCCCAUUUGUAGACGGCUCAGAUCAAGACAAUCUCUUCAUGAAACUACUCAACACCUACUAAGGACUCAGAGAGCUUUCCCAAGGACCUUUUUUGUACCAAGACAGAAGGUCAGCUUUCUUCUCCCCAUCUCUGAUAUCUUCAUCCUAUUUGUCCUCCCUCCCAAAUGGCUCUUUACACUGAAUUAUAGGCCAAUUAGUAAACCAUAGAUAUAUGGAAUGAAUAUCUGAGAGGCAGUUGCUGUCAGGACAACACUUGUGACAACACAGAAGAAGAUAGGGCUCUCAAGGAUACAAGAGAUAUAUUACGGGGGUACUAAGGAUGAUGUCACUGAGAACUGCCAUGGACUACCUGCUAAACAGAUUUCCUUACAUUGACCAGAUUUGACGGUGCCCUUUCUAGGAGAGUCUCCUAUGACACAGUGGAAAUCUUUUGUACUCCAUCUCUCUAACGCUAGAGACUUCUCUUUGCUGCAUUAGUGUUUACAUGGUCUUAAUGGACAAAAUUAAUCGGGACUUGGCAUGGGUAGAAAAGAUCUAGGAAGAUGGAGUGGAGGAGAUUCUUCUUGAUAAUAAUUUUGCUCCCUGGGCCAUUCCUGUGACAUACAGUUCAAUUUCCUAGUUUUUCUCUGUUUCCCAAAGGCCAUUAUUUUCCAUACAGACCUUUAAUUGAGUGAAUAUUGUAUUUCAUUUUCUAAUUCUUCAUUCCUAGAUAGGGCACUUUGUAUUCAUUCCUGAAAGUGUACUCAAAAAUUCUCCUUUACAAUUGCAUUUUUGUAAUGAUUUUGGCAAAAAAGAGGGCCGAAGUAUAGAGUGCAGAGAACAGUGUAAAUAUUUUGUACCUACUUCAAAUGAUAAACUCCAAAUUCUUAUUUUAUCCAAAAAUUAUCAUACAUCAGUAAAUCAAAGACAACAUGUACUAUACAAUUCGUUUCUCUAUUCCCAUUUGAUAUCAUUUCUGCAAUAUCUUCCUUCUUGUGUUCCCAUGGCCACACUUGAGGUUUUUGGAUAUUUUACAAUGAUUCUUUUUUCAGGCCAAACAUAAGACUUAGGUGGAUGGGCAGGGAAAGAAAUGUUUUGAGUUCAACUGAAACCUCAAUUUCAAUAAGUUCAUAAGGACAGGAGGGACCUUUGCAUCUGUAGAUUCUACAUUCUUGUUCUAGAUGCGCAGAAUCAAUGGUAAAUUCCAUCUAACCUCACAUAGGAGCCAAUAUAUAUAUGAUAGAUAGAUAGAUAGAUAGAUAGAUAGAUAGAUAGAUAGAUAGAUAGAUAGACAGAUAGAUAGAUCUGCCACCAAAAUAAGAUAAGAUUGUUGAAGUUAAGAAGUGCAUUCUGCCAGGAAGAGGAUAUAGACAUUUCCUGAGAAACACAGCUAGAAUAUGUCAAUUACAUAAGUGAAUGCUUGUGGCAAACCAGUUACUUGUAAAUGGAACUCUUGUUGAUAACUUUUGAGAAAGGAUUACAAGAGGUAAAGGGGUUUGCAAACCCAUAAGAAAAGCAAUGUCAAUGAACCAGAGCUUUCUAGUACUAGACCAAUAUUCAACGAAUGUACAUGGACAUACCUAUGGCUCCCACUGCAUAUUUAGUACCAGAUGGCCUUCUUGGGAACCAACAGAAGUAGAAGCUCUUGGUCCUCCCUAUAUUUGAUUCACAGUUCAUGGGAAUGCAAAGGGGUAGUAAGGGGAUUAUAGUAGAAUGGGAGGUGGACUGGUUAGGGAUCUUAGAGACAGGAAAUUGGAAAAGGAAUAACAUUUGUAAUGUAAAUAUAGAAAUAUCAAAUUUAAAAAAGCUAUAUAUUUUGCUAAAAAAGAAAAAAAGGAAAGAAAUAAAAGAAAAGAAAACUGCCAAUUAAUUACACCCUUUGACUCAGAAAUCUAAAGGGUCACUGUCAGGGAAUGGUAGUCAGAGUAAUACUAGUUCAAAGACGAAGAUGGUGAAAUCUCAAAUAGAAGCAAUUUUCUCUCCCAGAUAUCAGUGUCAGACACAAUCUGCACUCUAGGAAUCCAAAGCACAGAGUAAUUUACUCUGAGCUGAGGACACAAUACUUGUCUUUCCCUUCUUCCUUAGGACCAAAACCAUCAGCUUUAAAGAAAACUGUGCCCUUUCCAACACUUGGCUUUGGAAAAAAGACAUGAAUGAUAUAAAUUCUCCGACUUCCAGGAACCAUAACUAGCAGGGAAGUCCAGAUGCAUCUGAGAGGCUCCCAUCUCCUGAUUACCAUAUUUGGAAGGCUCCAAUCAAUACUAUCUUUUCAGCAAACCUUCUCAACCACUACCCAGAAAUGACUGAGAUUUCCCAUGGACCACAUAUUUCUUUUUUUUUAUAACAAAGCAGAAGGCCAGCUUCCUUCUUCCCAUCUUUGAUCACUUCAUCCUCUUUUUUCUCCUUCCCAAAGGCUGUUUAUGCUGAAUUAGAGGCCAAAUAGUAAACCCUAGAGGUACUGAAGGACUACUGGAGAGGCAACUUCUGUCAGGACAACACUUGUUACAUCACAGAAGAAACUAGGGAUCUCCAGGAUACAACAGAUUUUUUUAGAUAGGCCUAAUGGUGAUGUCACUGAGAAUUGCCAUGGCCUACCUGCUAAAGUGUUUUCCUUUCAAUGACCAGAUUCGAGGGUGCCCUUGCAAGGGCCAGACGUGAAGGUUUUCGAGGUUUUACCAUGGUUGUUACUUCAGGACAAACAUAAAAUUCAGGAGGAUGUGCAGGGAGAUGAAUGGCUUGAUGUCCAGGGAAACUUCAACUUCAAUAGGUUCAUAAGAACAAGAGGGAGGUGUUUGGAAUUGCCAUUUGUGGAUUCUACAUUCUUGACCUAGGUGUACAUAAUCCAUGUGAAAAUUCCACCUAACCUCAUAGCUGUAGGAGCCACCAAAUGUAUAGUUGGAACCAGAUGUACAUCUUUCCUGAGAGACACAGCUUGAGCAAGUCAAAUACAGAAGAGAAUGCUACUGGCAAACCAGUGAACCAAAAAUGGAUCUCUUGUUGGUAGUUUUUGAGAAAGAAUUACAAGAGCUUAAGGGGAUUUCAAUUCCAUAAGAACAACAAUGCCAGUGAACCAGAGCUUUCUGGUACUAAACCAAUAUUCAAAGACUGUACUUGGACAGACCUAUGUGUCCAACUGCAUAUGUAGCAGUGGAUGGCCUUGUUGGGAACCAAUGGAAGGAGAAGUUCCUGGUCCAACCUAGGUUUAACUCUCAGUUCAAGGUAAUAUCAAGGUUCACUAAGGUAGGUUAUAGAAGAAUGUUAGGUGGACUAGUUACGGGUCUUAUGGACAUGAAACUGGGAAAGAAAAUCAAAUUUGAAAUUCAAAUAUAGAAAUAUCCAAAUAAAAAAAGCAAUAAAAUUUGCUAAAAAUUAAAAAAAAAAUGAAAUAAAUUAAAGAAAAGACAUCUGUCAGCUAAUUACACAUAUUGACUCAGAAAUCUAAAGGGUAACUAUCAGCAAAUGGUAAUCAGAGUAAUACUAGUGGAAAGACUGAGAUGAUGAAGUCUCAACUAGAAGCUCUUCUCUCCCAAAUAUCAGUGUCAGACACAAACUGCACUAUAGGUGUCCAAAGCAUGGAGGCGUUUACACUGAGCUGAGGAGACAAUACUUGUCUAUCCUUUGUUUCUUCGGACCUUUUUCUUCAGGGCAAAAAGAGUGAAAGCCAUGAGCUCUCACUAGAACAACUGUGCCCUUCCCAACAACUGACUUUUGGAAUGAAGAAAAUGAUUAUAUAAACUCUCUAAAUUCCAGAAACCAUAUCAAGCAGGGAAGUCCAGAUGAUAAUGAGAGAAUCCCAGCUCUGGAUUCCCAUGUGUGUAAGGCUCAGAUCAAGGCUAUCUCUUCAGAUACAACACUCAACGCCUACCCAAGACUCACUGAGCUUUCCCAUGGACCAUUUAUUUCUUCCUUUUUUAUACAAAGACAGAAGGCCAGCUUCCUUCUCUUUUAUCUCCCUAACAAAUGGCUGUUUAGCCAGAAUAAGAGGUCAAUGAGUUAACCCUAGAGGUCCUCAAAGAAUAUCCAAGAGGCAGUUGCUGUCACCAUGACACUUGUGACAUCACAGAAAAGCUAGAGCUCUUCAGGAUACAAGAGAUAUUUCAGGGAGGACCUAAUGAUGAUGUCACUGAGAACUGCCAUGAUCUAACUGUUGAACAGCUUUCUUUACAUUGACCAGAUUUGAGGGUUCCCUUUCCAAGAGUGUCUCUUGUGACACACUGGAAACCUUUAAAUACUAUAUAUCUCUAAUGCUGGAGACUUCUCUUUGCUUCAUUCGUACGUACAUGUUCGGAAUAGAGAAUGUUGGUCAGGGGCUUGGCAUGGCUAUAAAGAUCUAGGAACAUGGGGUGGAGGAGAUUAUUCUGGAUAAUAAUUCCACUCCCAGUUCCAUUCCUGUGACAUACAGUUCAAGUUCCUAGGUUUUGUCUGUUUCCCAAAGUCCAAUAUUUUCCUUCCAGACAUUUAGGUGAAUGAAUAUUGUAUUACAUUUCCUUAUUGUAUAUUCUUUGAAAGGAGACUUUAUAUAUAUUACUGAAUGUGUACUCAUAUAUUCUGUUUUCCAAUUUUAAUUUUUGCAAUGAUAUUGGCAACAAAGUUGGCCCAGCUAAAGCAUGAAUAUAACAGUAUAAAUAUUGUAUACCUACUUCAAAUGAUAAUCUCUCAAAUCCUUAAUUUAAGCAAAAAUUACCAGCCAUCAGUAAAGCAAAGGACAAUAUGGACCCUAGAAUGCGGUUCAGAUUUUCUUUUAGGCUUGAAAAAUUUUGCGAAGAAGGUUUUGUGGGUGUAUUUGUGUCUUUAUCCCUCCAUUGCUGGUCUUUCCAGGCUAUGGGAGUUGGCCUCUUAAUGUUUCAUAUCACCAAUGUAAUUCAAGCUUAGGUCACCCCAUUGAUUCCUGGGUACCUCCAUUAUACCAGGUCUCUUUCUCUUCCUGGAGGUUUCUCCCACCUCCUCAUCUCUUUAAGUUCAAGAUUUCCUUUUUUUCUCAUGACUAUCAGGUCCUAUCUCCUGUCCCUUCACACACAGGAUCCAUUCUCCUCUUCCUUCCAUCUCUCAUCUAGUUCCUUUCCUCAAUCGGCCUCCUAGACUAUUUUAUUCCCCAUUCUAAGUGAGAGUCAAUCUUAUGCACUUUGGCCAUUCUUCUUGUUUAUCUUCUUUGUACCUUUAAGCUUUGUGGAGGAUGUCCUGUAGUUUAUGGAUAAUAUUACUUAUAAUUGAGCAAUUUCAACAACCCUCUUGAUCAUAUUUUAGAGUAGUAUGUUAAAAUUGAAAAUUAUAAUUUAGUAUGAGUGAAUGUCAUGAGGACCAAAUUUAGGUAAAAAGAAACUUAAAACAAGAUCAAAUCACAGAUUUUAAAAAUUGACCUAAUAAUAAAAAUUCUCUACUAUCAUAAGGAAUUAUUAUAUCACAGGCAAUUUUUAAGUGGUACCAUAAAUUUGGCAGACAAAUGAUGUUUUUAACAAGUAAUUAUGGAUAAUAUGACUAAGAUCAAAUAAGAUAAAUAUAUUGUUUUCAUUCUGAUAUCACUUCCUGGCAUUUUUCCUCAAACAUGAUGUUUAUAGCAUUGAACAUUAUGGUAUUAGUUUUAAAUUUUAAUAUUUAUUAUAACCUAACCUAUAAAGUAACAGGUUGCCAUAUGUUAUGUUUGUAGACAAUCACCCUCAUCCUUGCUUCCUCAGUUCUUUGUUUCCGCCUGCCCUAUGUCCCUCACCACUUAUACUAGUCUCUCUUCAUUAUUCUUACUUCUAGAUUCAUAUCCCACAUGCUCAAUAUCUUCCAUACCACACUGUUUAAAACCCUACUCUCUAAUCUCUCUAAUCUCUGUGACGUAUACCAGUUAAAUGAACUCAAACCACCCACAGCUUCACAUAAAUACAAGUAUAUUAAAAGGAGAUUCUUUGAUCUCUUUGAAAAAGAACACAUGGUAUUUGCCUUUCUAAGUCUUUGUUACCUUACUCGGUUUAGUUUUCCUAGGGAGAAUGAAGUACCAUUGUCUAUAUUGUCACAUUCUUAUAUAUCUAUGUAUCAAUGAAUAUUCAUUAUGAUUCUCAAUAAAAGAGCAAUAGAUUUAUUUUUGAAAAACGAUGAGAAAGCUCAGAUAGAAAAGUCAAGAAACUAAGAAACUAAGAAACUAAGAAAAUUUCAAAGAUAAAUAUGACGAACAUAUUUGUGUUUAUAUUAACUGGAGCAGUGUGUGUUAAAGUUAAUAAAGGAUGUGGUAUUUAUAAUAUUUUUAUACUAAUAAAAUGUAGAAUAUUCAAUAAUUUAGAGAAUACUUAUAAAAUUGUUCAUCACUAAGUUAUAU